CCUACGGGAGGCAGCAGUGAGGAAUAUUGGUCAAUGGGCGAGAGCCUGAACCAGCCAAGUCGCGUGAAGGAUGAAGGCCCUACGGGUUGUAAGCUUCUUUUGUCAGGGAGCAAUUGAGGCCACGUGUGGGCGUAGCGAGAGUACAUGAAGAAAAAGCAUCGGCUAACUCCGUGCCAGCAGCCGCGGUAAUACGGAGUAUGCGAGCGUUAUCCGGAUUUAUUGGGUUUAAAGGGUGCGUAGGCGGAAUAUCAAGUCAGCGGUAAAAAUUCGGGGCUCAACCCCGUCGUGCCGUUGAAACUGAUGUUCUUGAGUGGGCGAGAAGUAUGCGGAAUGCGUGGUGUAGCGGUGAAAUGCAUAGAUAUCACGCAGAACUCCGAUUGCGAAGGCAGCAUACCGGCGCCCAACUGACGCUGAAGCACGAAAGCGUGGGUAUCGAACAGGAUUAGAUACCCCUGUAGUC
Molecule: ribosomal RNA, 460 nt
Filed under: uncultured bacterium
Lineage: Bacteria
Description: partial 16S ribosomal RNA
Rfam family: Bacterial small subunit ribosomal RNA
Source: RNAcentral